GGCUGUUCGCCAUUUAAAGUGGUACGCGAGCUGGGUUUAGAACGUCGUGAGACAGUUCGGUCCCUAUCUGCCGUGGGCGCUGGAGAACUGAGGGGGGCUGCUCCUAGUACGAGAGGACCGGAGUGGACGCAUCACUGGUGUUCGGGUUGUCAUGCCAAUGGCACUGCCCGGUAGCUAAAUGCGGAAGAGAUAAGUGCUGAAAGCAUCUAAGCACGAAACUUGCCCCGAGAUGAGUUCUCCCUGACUCCUUGAGAGUCCUGAAGGAACGUUGAAGACGACGACGUUGAUAGGCCGGGUGUGUAAGCGCAGCGAUGCGUUGAGCUAACCGGUACUAAUGAACCGUGAGGCUUAACCUUACAACGCCGAAGCUGUU
Molecule: ribosomal RNA, 373 nt
Filed under: Escherichia coli
Lineage: Bacteria; Pseudomonadati; Pseudomonadota; Gammaproteobacteria; Enterobacterales; Enterobacteriaceae
Description: partial 23S ribosomal RNA
Rfam family: Bacterial large subunit ribosomal RNA
Source: RNAcentral